CUAAUGUGUGUAGCAAAGAUGUUGCAUUCGCUCAGAUGUCACCUAUGCUUCUGAUAACCUAUAUAAGGUUGGCCGCGCUGCAAGACAGGAUGUCGACAUGGAGAUGGAGUACUUUUCGGGACUCUCAGGUGCAGGAUAAAAGUUCGUGGCAACAGAAUUUGACAAAAAACUUAAAGAACUAUCAGAAAAAGAGACUGGUCUGAGUGGUGAUGAAAUUACUAUCCUCCUCCGUGUUUUAACAAGAGCCACACUUUCUAGAAAGCGUUUCCAGAAACUUCUGCAUUGUGUUGUGCCAGAGACAAUUGUGCAGAAAGAACACAUACAAACUGUUGUCAUCUGGAUGCUGAGGAGACACUUAUAUGAACCACCUAAAAAGUGUGUUGCUGUCCUCCAGUGGCUCAUUGCUUUGCUGGAGAAUGAGCUUGCAGACAGACAAGCGAUUGACAGCUUUUAUCAUCAAAUUUAUUUUCUAUCACUUCUUGAAAGUCUGGCACCGUGGGCUUCUAAAAUUGUAUAUACGUUGACUACACCAGAUGACGUUACAAGAGCGAGGGUUGUAACAUUAUUUAGAUGCAUCUUCAAGCAGACAGGAGCACCUCACACUGAAGCAAUACUGGGCUUAUUUAAGUCUCUCCGUCCAGAACUUGUCCCAGAAGAUAUUUCAACUGUAAAUACACAUACAGCCUUUGGAAGAAUACCUGCUACGCUGUCAGAGGCUGUAAAUAAGAGCAGGUGUUGCAGACCCAAGGCAAGAAGUUAAUCAUCAAACAGAUGCAGAACAUGUCACACUGUGCUCCUGCAUGAUCUGCUACUGCCAAUUUGCCCAUCUUGCCAAGGUGACAGUUGCUCAGGUGUUUGUGCUGUACUGGAUUUUCCUUAAAGAGGAUGGAAAGAUGUAGAACAAGAGCCACUUACAACUUGCUUUUAGCCACAAUUACCUUCAGUGAUUUCCUUUUAAAGGCAGUAGUUAUUGUUUUAAAUUAUAAAGUAAUGCACUAAUUAAGUUUUUUUUUUGUGUGUAGUAUAAACUCGUUUCACGGCUUUUUUCUCAUUUUUAAGUACCUUGGGAGUUUACAUAGAUACUGAAUGUGAUGUCUGAGGGUGAGAUGUUAUGCCUGUCUUUCCCUGUAGGCAUUGGUUUAUGUUCUCAGUGCAAUAAGAAAACCAGGAAAUAAGAAUUAUGAUGAUUUAGGUGAUGUUGUUAUGGGACAGUAUCUUUUUACAGAUACCGUGCCUCAUCCAUCAUUCAUAAAUUCACACACAUGCAACAUACCAUUUACUGCAUUUGUUUACAUUAAAUAAUAACAUAGAAUAAAGGUAUUGUGAUAGUAUUUCUUACCAAAUACUUUGGAUACAGUCAAAUAUGUUUUAUUUUAUAACAAUAACAAUUACAUCUGUACUUACAUUAAUCUAUUCUAUAGCUGCUUUCAGUAACACAGUUACGAUUUUACAUAACAAUUAUGCCUUCCAUUGUAUUUUUAUAAUAUUUUUUCACUCUGUAGCUGUAGCUGCUGAACAUGAGAAACGUAUGAAUAAAUUUAACAUUUUUGGAAUUUACUAUAGUUAUUAUUUGAAAGAGUAUUAUUACAAGAAAAAUAAUUGUUUAACUAUCUAGCUUGUCAUUAUAGAUCAUUUUUCUCCUGACUUUUUCUGGUGUACAAUCUGAUCCCUCUGUAGGAUCAUUGUAUGUGCUUUCUGAAUUGCAUGUGCAUUUAAAUAUGAAGUUAUGGGGAUGUUAAUUAAUAAACACAGACUCACAACAUAUGGGCAAUUUAUUCCUAAUAUAUCACUAAAACAGUUCAACAUAUAUACAUCAUCAUCAUGACAUUAAGAUAGUUCUUGAUAACUCUCAUUGUAUUCCUGUGUGAUAUACUUCACAUGGGUUUGCAACAUAGUCCAUGCUGUCAACCUAACCUAACCGUAACUUGACUGUAACUGAAAUUUCACUAAUUGUAACUGAUAUGCAGCUUACUUACAAAUGGAUCAUGUCCAGCUAUAUAUGUUUUCACCCCUUGGCAGGAAUGCCUCACUUAAUGGUUUUUUAGCCAAAUAAAAGUGGAUGCUACAAUAACUGAUCAUACAAAAAAGAGAAAUUGUUAAGGUAACCAGCUUGGAUUUUUAACACUAAAUACUUCAUGUACAUGAUGUUUUGUGUCCUUGUGUAUUACACAAACACAAGACAAUACUUCUUCAUAUUGUAAUGAUAGAUUCAAUAAAAAUUCCCUGGUGUCUAAGA
Molecule: long non-coding RNA, 2236 nt
Organism: Schistocerca cancellata (South American locust)
Lineage: Eukaryota; Metazoa; Arthropoda; Insecta; Orthoptera; Acrididae
Exons: 7
Source: RefSeq, a predicted model, not a curated record